CGUAGGUGGCAAGCGUUGUCCGGAAUUAUUGGGCGUAAAGCGCGCGCAGGCGGUUCCUUAAGUCUGAUGUGAAAGCCCACGGCUCAACCGUGGAGGGUCAUUGGAAACUGGGGAACUUGAGUGCAGGAGAGAAGAGUGGAAUUCCACGUGUAGCGGUGAAAUGCGUAGAGAUGUGGAGGAACACCAGUGGCGAAGGCGACUCUUUUGGCCUGUAACUGACGCUGAGGCGCGAAAGCGUGGGGAGCAAACAGGAUUAGAUACCCUGGUAGUCCACGCCGUAAACGAUGAGUGCUAAGUGUUAGAGGGUUUCCGCCCUUUAGUGCUGCAGCAAACGCAUUAAGCACUCCGCCUGGGGAGUACGGCCGCAAGGCUG
This 373-nucleotide ribosomal RNA is filed under the name uncultured organism. RNAcentral describes it as "bacterial SSU rRNA". It matches the Rfam family "Bacterial small subunit ribosomal RNA", at positions 526 to 896 of the family's 1533-position model. The record is from RNAcentral.